GUUUUUAUUUACUUUUUUUGCGUUCGGUCACAUUUGAGAGUGAGGCAGAUGUAUAGCAUUUAGCAAAAAAAAGAUGAUUAUUUGUCCCUCUGAAAUGAAACCAUCAAGUGAUAGACUUUAAACAAAUACAUGUCUGUUAUUGAACAGCCCCAUGCCAUGAUUAGAUAGUGAAGAAACACAACAAUCUCUUUCAUAAUUUCUUUAAACAAUAAAAGCUAAUUUACCAACAUUUCUGAAAAGUGAAAUAUAGCAUUUUAGAAUUAAACUCUUCUUAUGUUUCCCCAUCUGAGAUCAGAGAGGAUGAGAGAUAUAAUGUUUGUCUCUGUUGUGUUGAAGACCAAUCAAGCAGGAGAGACCAGCCUCCCCUGUACCCAGCUGUGUGUCCAUGAAGAGUGACCAGUCUAUGGAUCAACCUUUACUGUUUAGAGAGGGAGACUUUUCUACUGAACAAAGCCCAAUCAAGCAGGAGAGACCAGCCUCCCCUGUACCCAGCUGUGUGUCCAGGAAGCGUAAGCGGUCUAUAGAUCAACCUAUACAGUUUAGAGAGGGAGACUUUUCUACUGAACAAAGAAACCAACAGGAGAGAUCAGAGUCAGAGAUACUCAGUGGUCAGUCUUCCCAAAGUCAUCAAACAGACC
This is a non-coding RNA of Salmo salar (Atlantic salmon), 638 nucleotides long. The record is from RefSeq and is a predicted model, not a curated record. NCBI's taxonomy places the organism in Eukaryota, Metazoa, Chordata, Actinopteri, Salmoniformes, Salmonidae.